Molecule: ribosomal RNA, 254 nt
Filed under: uncultured bacterium
Lineage: Bacteria
Description: partial 16S ribosomal RNA
Rfam family: Bacterial small subunit ribosomal RNA
Source: RNAcentral
UACGGGGGGAGCAAGCGUUGUUCGGAUUUACUGGGCGUAAAGGGCGCGUAGGCGGUCGUGACAAGUCACUUGUGAAAUCUCCGGGCUUAACUCGGAACGGUCAAGUGAUACUGUCGGACUAGAGUACAGAAGGGGCAACUGGAAUUCUCGGUGUAGCGGUGAAAUGCGUAGAUAUUGGGAGGAACACCAGUGGCGAAGGCGGCUCACUGGGCCGAUACUGACGCUGAGGAGCGAAAGCGUGGGGAGCGAACAGG